AUACUGAACCCAAUUAUACCAUUCAUCCAAUGCAAACAGCCCAUGCUCAUAAGGAACAAGUGGAAGUCCAAGAGCCAAAACCGAAGGAGCACGAAGAUCAAUGUCUUCCCAAACCUCCGGAUAAGGUAGAGUUUGUUUUGCCAGAUUUUAGUACUAAAUUGCAGCUACACAUGGAGAAACAUGAAUUGGAGUUCAAGGUGCUUCCCAAUCAUCUCAAAAAUGCAAACAUAAGAGCUAG
RNAcentral lists this long non-coding RNA (238 nucleotides) under Manihot esculenta (cassava). RNAcentral's name for it is "long non-coding RNA (MESC_LNC002838)". Lineage: Eukaryota; Viridiplantae; Streptophyta; Magnoliopsida; Malpighiales; Euphorbiaceae. The record is from RNAcentral.